UACGUAGGUGGCAAGCGUUAUCCGGAUUUAUUGGGCGUAAAGCGAGCGCAGGCGGUUCCUUAAGUCUGAUGUGAAAGCCCACGGCUCAACCGUGGAAGGUCAUUGGAAACUGGGGAACUUGAGUGCAGAAGAGGAGAGUGGAAUUCCAUGUGUAGCGGUGAAAUGCGUAGAUAUAUGGAGGAACACCAGUGGCGAAGGCGACUCUCUGGUCUGUAACUGACGCUGAGGCUCGAAAGCGUGGGGAGCAAACAGGAUUAGA
Molecule: ribosomal RNA, 259 nt
Filed under: uncultured prokaryote
Description: partial 16S ribosomal RNA
Rfam family: Bacterial small subunit ribosomal RNA
Source: RNAcentral